GGGGGCGAUUGGCUUCGACAAAAUAUGACUUUUUUUGUGUUGCAUGUACAGAACCCGGGUAAUCUGUUUAAUCAUCCCGGAAACAACACAGAUGCCAAUAAUGGCAACAUUGCUUACGCUUAAAGCAUAAGCCGUUCCAUCUAAAAUAUGUUUGCCGUUUUAGAAUGGAGCGUCAAUUAGGCAGACUAUUCCUAAGAAUUGUCCGCGUUUUUAGGAUGAAAAAUUUCGGACUGGCUUUGAAAUUUGGUCGUUUGACACCAAAUCCAAAGUAAGAUAAAAAAGUCAAACUAAACAUGUAGAAGUACAAAUAAUUUCUAUUUUGGACGGGAGUUCGACUCUCCCCGCCUCCACAA
Molecule: transfer-messenger RNA, 353 nt
Filed under: bacterium
Lineage: Bacteria
Also listed under: 1 other name
Description: GCA-2715465 sp002715465 Standard tmRNA
Rfam family: transfer-messenger RNA
About the family: Bacterial tmRNA, also known as 10Sa RNA or SsrA, is named for its dual tRNA and mRNA-like properties. Its role is to liberate the mRNA from a stalled ribosome. To accomplish this part of the tmRNA is used as a reading frame that ends in a translation stop signal.
Source: RNAcentral